This 463-nucleotide ribosomal RNA is filed under the name Streptococcus sp. oral taxon 070. RNAcentral's name for it is "bacterial SSU rRNA". It matches the Rfam family "Bacterial small subunit ribosomal RNA", at positions 28 to 473 of the family's 1533-position model. The record is from RNAcentral. Lineage: Bacteria; Bacillati; Bacillota; Bacilli; Lactobacillales; Streptococcaceae.
GACGAACGCUGGCGGCGUGCCUAAUACAUGCAAGUAGAACGCUGAAGCUUGGUGCUUGCACCGAGCGGAAGAGUUGCGAACGGGUGAGUAACGCGUAGGUAACCUGCCUGGUAGCGGGGGAUAACUAUUGGAAACGAUAGCUAAUACCGCAUGAUAUUGAUUAUUGCAUGAUAGUCAAUUAAAAGGUGCAAUUGCAUCACUACCAGAUGGACCUGCGUUGUAUUAGCUAGUUGGUGAGGUAACGGCUCACCAAGGCAACGAUACAUAGCCGACCUGAGAGGGUGAUCGGCCACACUGGGACUGAGACACGGCCCAGACUCCUACGGGAGGCAGCAGUAGGGAAUCUUCGGCAAUGGACGGAAGUCUGACCGAGCAACGCCGCGUGAGUGAAGAAGGUUUUCGGAUCGUAAAGCUCUGUUGUAAGAGAAGAACGAGUGUGAGAGUGGAAAGUUUACACUGUGAC